CCCUCUCCCUGUUCACUCUCUCUCUCUCUCUCUCAAAUACUAAAAACCAUCUUUAAUCAGUGUUCUUUCUCAUCAGUAGGAUCACGCAGAGGCCCGUGCAUGCACAUGUGUGAUGUCCACAGGAGACGCAGGUGAGCCCAGGGCAUGAGCCACAGACCGGUGCCUGACCCUGAGGAUCUGGGUCCCGACCCGUGUCCUCCCGGCCCCCUGGCCGAGGCGUGAGGGGGCCUCGCGGUGCGGAGGGGGCUCAAACAGCGAGAACAGGCAGGGAGGUCCAGGCGGCUCCUCGAGCCCACAGGCCUCUGAGACGUGAGUGGUGCUGACGCCUCCCGCGGCCGCUCCAGGCCUCAGGGCCAACUGUCCCGUGCAGAGACCCCCCACGCACACGCACACUCCCUCUCGGCUCUCCUUCCAGCCACGCCCACGCCUCUGCAGGCCCAGGACGGGAUUCAGACAUCCCAGAGGAAGCGGGGCUGCUGUUCCUGAAGGGAAUUAAAAGCCACAAGCAGGGAGCUAAGCCGCUGGGGCUGCGGCCUCCUCGCGAAUUUUCUUUCACGUGGAUUUUCCUCCCACUAAGGCGGUGCUCGUGCAACACGGCCGGGCUUUCGUUUUUCUCCCUUCGAGAGGAUUUCUAGUGAAACGUAACCAGCUAACAAGGAAAUCGCCAAAAUGAGGUCUAAAAACCUCCAUCAGAAAGUUUAACAUAAAAUCCUGUCACACACAGCACGUGGUUUCAGGCCGUAGAAAGACAAGCUCAAGGCGCGGCCCCGGCGGGCGGCCGUCACACACACGCCUCUGCCCCGCGUCACCCGAGGGAACGCGCCACGCGGGAGAGCCACCAACACCCAGAAACGCAGACGGGGAGGGGGACGCCCUCGGCCCCAGUCAGCGUCAGAAAAUCCUCACGCGAGAGCGCCCGGGGCACAUCUGUUCUGCUCCCAGAGACAGAAGGGGUUUUCCACGGCAAAGUAUUUCCUUUAGCGGAAUUUCUGCUCUUACUGUCACUGUAUCUUUUGCACAGACACCAUUCUGAGUGUGUGCGCGUGAGGACGUCUGUGCCACUCCGCCUGGGACGCUCCUCGCAGGUGUGCCCUCGGAGGCCAGACCGCGGGGGUCGAAGCUGCAGCCCACAGACAGCUGCACAUUCCCAGAGUUCUGGGGACACAGAGGCUCGUGGGCUGGACCAUCUGUGGCGCAUGGGGAGGGACACGCCUGGGCACACGCAGGGUGUGGCCUGUGGCUUCCCGCCUGGAUGCUAGGAAGGACACCCGGGGGCCGCCCCACCCGACACGCAGACCUCCCGCAUCAUUCUGAUGCCACUUCCUGGGCACAGGCACGGCCCUCUCUCAGCCACGCCACGCACGGGGACUGGCUCUCCGCUCCUUCCACUCACAGGGAAGACUGACACCCACACACGUACACACACACCCGCCCAGGCCCCUGCAUCCGGUGGCAGCGUGUGACCAGCUCUGACCAAUGAGCUGCGAGCAGAGGCACCUCUGGGCCCGAGGACUUCAUGGCUGGUGCUCCACACUCAACGCCUCCGGCGAGGCAGCCGGCAAGCGUCGGCGGCUGGUUACCAGACCUGCCGGGCCCCGAGGUGCCGCAGGGAGCAAAGAGCGCUGCGAACCCAGGACGGCCGUGCAGCUUGAGCAGGAGAUCAGCCGCCGAGAUCGGGAAACACCUGCUCCUGCAGUGUGAUCUCAGCUUUCCAGCCUGAGAUUUCUACUACCCUCAAGUCGCAACAGCACGCGUGUGAAGUUUCGGUCACAGCCACAUCGUCUAUCAAUAAAAACCCAAGAUGUUUCCAGGAAUGCCUUCCACUGGAAGCCGGCAGUAGUCAGAGGGUAAACAAAGAAAAGAAAGGCAAGGCAGCAGAAGAUAACGUGGUUUCAGGUCCAGGGACACGAGCAUUUCCUGGGCUCCGCCCUGCCUGAGAGGCGAACCGGGCUCCUGUGUCUGGGGGCCCAGCAGGGUGGCCCACGACCCCCCCGAGCCCCCAGCAGCCCGCCUCCAGUGCAGCCCAGCGGCCGGUUACCUCCGCCCUGAGCAGCGGCCCGGGGAGGCGCGUCCUCCAGAGGCAGCAGACGGUCCCCGCGUGUGCACGUGCCUGCACACUUGCUCAUAUCCAGGACCGCAGCCAUCGCCCAAAAAAGAGAAUCGAACCAAACUGUUCCUGCGUCCUUGCCAAGUGGUGGGCAAGCCUUCGUCUCACUGGGCCUGGAAAACAGAGCGAGCUGGGGAUUAAGAGAGAGCUGGCAGGGCGGGAGUGACGUCCCGGAGCCACACGUGGGAGCCCGGCCCGGGAGCCAAGAGGCAUAUGCGUGCGCCACCAUAUGCGGGGCUGUCUGGUGGCCCCGCGUCCUGAACGACUCACGCCAGGAGGGAGAUGGCGGGAUGGCCUGUUUCCAUCCCAGUGAGGGGAGGCGCGGAGCCCGGGGGCCAAGAGCCUCUUGUCGGCCCACCUGGUCGGGAUGGGCCAGGCGACCUGGGAGGAUGACCCACCCCCGUCGCUGUCGCCGGAGCUGGGUCCACACCCUCGGGUUAAGGAGAUGCAGCGACACCAGGCCGGCUGAGUCCCGUGGCGGCCCCAGCGGGCCCCUCUCCCCCUGUCCCGCCAGCGCUGCCCGGGCCGCUCGUUACCACCCGGCCCCCUCGUUACCACCCGGCCCCUGCAGGCCUGUGAGUCUGCAAGGCCUGACAUCACAAAACCCAUGUCAGUAAGAAAAGACCGAGGGGGGGGGGGGAGGGCACCUGCUGGGACGAGCACUGGGUGUUGCACGGAAACCAACUUGACGAUAAAUUUCAUACUAAAAAAAAAAAGACCGAGAGGAAACGGACCACGGUAAAGAGUGUGAGCGCGGCUAAUUGUUUUUCUGCUAUUGAUUUCCUCACUCUUUGUGAGAUGUGUUUCAGUCGCUUAGAAGUAUUGGGAAAGUAGUUAUUAAAAUGACCACGAGCGCUUUCAGCCGGGGAAUACGCACUU
This is a long non-coding RNA of Leopardus geoffroyi (Geoffroy's cat), 2986 nucleotides long. RefSeq lists it as uncharacterized. Lineage: Eukaryota; Metazoa; Chordata; Mammalia; Carnivora; Felidae. The transcript is spliced from 2 exons. The record is from RefSeq and is a predicted model, not a curated record.